RNAcentral lists this ribosomal RNA (340 nucleotides) under uncultured bacterium. RNAcentral's name for it is "bacterial SSU rRNA". It matches the Rfam family "Bacterial small subunit ribosomal RNA", at positions 328 to 687 of the family's 1533-position model. The record is from RNAcentral.
AAAACAAACCUACGGGAGGCAGCAGUGGGGAAUAUUGGACAAUGGGCGCAAGCCUGAUCCAGCCAUGCCGCGUGAGUGAUGAAGGCCUUAGGGUUGUAAAGCUCUUUCACCGGAGAAGAUAAUGACGGUAUCCGGAGAAGAAGCCCCGGCUAACUUCGUGCCAGCAGCCGCGGUAAUACGAAGGGGGCUAGCGUUGUUCGGAAUUACUGGGCGUAAAGCGCACGUAGGCGGACUUUUAAGUCAGGGGUGAAAUCCCGGGGCUCAACCUCGGAACUGCCUUUGAUACUGGAAGUCUUGAGUAUGGAAGAGGUAAGUGGAAUUGCGAGUGUAGAGGUGAAAU